RNAcentral lists this long non-coding RNA (474 nucleotides) under Elaeis guineensis (African oil palm). RNAcentral describes it as "long non-coding RNA (EGUI_LNC045354)". The record is from RNAcentral. Lineage: Eukaryota; Viridiplantae; Streptophyta; Magnoliopsida; Arecales; Arecaceae.
CCUACUUUCGAGUUUGAAUUUCGAAUGAAGUACAGAAAGAUUGUCACAGCCGAAGUUGCUCCCUCGAUGUCCGCACGCAAUCGUCCUCAGAUAUUUUGGCAUUUAAUGCACGUGCGCUGGGAUCUUUUCAAAUCGAGGCAAUCCGAAGAGGCUCUUUUGGAACCUGCAGCGGAACGAUGCUCAAGGCGUGGCGCAAUAAAGGCACUGUCAACUGUCUGUCACUUUUUAACCGCCCGCUGUGGUGAGUGGGACACGCGGCGAAAAGAGACCGGCUAGAGGGGAUUCGCAAUCGUCAUUAUGCCGGAUCUCAGGGCCUAUUUAAACCCGCACUCCUCCAAGAGUCCCGCUCUAUCCGACGGUCUCAUUCUGACGUCCUUCUUCUUCCUGAGAACUUCGAUUUUUCUCAGCGCCCUUUCCAGCCUUAGGCGUUCCUCGAGCCGUCCCCAUUUUCGCACCUUCGUACUUCUCCGAAUC